This is a small nuclear RNA of Marmota marmota marmota (Alpine marmot), 100 nucleotides long. The record is from Ensembl. NCBI's taxonomy places the organism in Eukaryota, Metazoa, Chordata, Mammalia, Rodentia, Sciuridae.
UUGCUCCUUCAGCACAUUUACUGAAAUUGGAAAAAUACAGAGAUUAGCAUGUCCCCUAUGCAAGGAUGACACACACAUUUGUGAAGCAUUCCAUAUUUAU